This 253-nucleotide ribosomal RNA is filed under the name uncultured bacterium. RNAcentral describes it as "partial 16S ribosomal RNA". It matches the Rfam family "Bacterial small subunit ribosomal RNA", at positions 524 to 776 of the family's 1533-position model. The record is from RNAcentral.
UACAGAGGGUGCGAGCGUUAAUCGGAAUUACUGGGCGUAAAGCGCACGUAGGCGGCUUGGUAUGUCGGGUGUGAAAUCCCCGGGCUCAACCUGGGAACUGCAUCCGAAACUGCCUUGCUAGAGUAUGGGAGAGGGAAGUGGAAUUUCCGGUGUAGUGGUGAAAUGCGUAGAUAUCGGAAGGAACAUCAGUGGCGAAGGCGACUUCCUGGACCAAUACUGACGCUCAGGUGCGAAAGCGUGGGGAGCAAACAGG